Molecule: ribosomal RNA, 254 nt
Filed under: uncultured bacterium
Lineage: Bacteria
Description: partial 16S ribosomal RNA
Rfam family: Bacterial small subunit ribosomal RNA
Source: RNAcentral
UACGUAGGGGGCAAGCGUUGUCCGGAUUUAUUGGGCGUAAAGAGCGUGUAGGCGGCUUCACAGGUCCGCUGUGAAAACUCGAGGCUCAACCUCGAGCUGUCGGUGGAAACCGUGUGGCUAGAGUCCGGAAGAGGAGAGUGGAAUUCCCGGUGUAGCGGUGAAAUGCGCAGAUAUCGGGAAGAACACCCGUGGCGAAGGCGGCUCUCUGGGACGGUACUGACGCUGAGACGCGAAAGCGUGGGGAGCGAACGAGG